RNAcentral lists this ribosomal RNA (315 nucleotides) under Triticum aestivum (bread wheat). RNAcentral describes it as "partial small subunit ribosomal RNA". The record is from RNAcentral. Lineage: Eukaryota; Viridiplantae; Streptophyta; Magnoliopsida; Poales; Poaceae.
AUGCACUGCUUUGUGUGGUGGGGGAUAUGCAUACCGAAGAAGAAAGAGGGAUUGGGGUUUAGAGACCUUCACAGUUUCAACCUUGCUAUGUUAGCAAAGCAGUGUUGGCGACUACUCUAGGACCCGGACUCUUUAUCUACACGUGUGUUGAGUGCAAAGUAUUAUCCAGAUGGCAGCAUUCUAAAGGCUGGUCCGAAAAAGGGAUCGUCAUACCCGUGGCAGAGUAUUGUUUUUGGCAUCCAAACCUUUCAAAGGGGCAGUGUAUGGCGCGUGGGAUUAGGAGCACAAAUAAACAUAUGGCAAGAUCCGUGUUAG